AACGAACGCUGGCGGCAUGCCUAAUACAUGCAAGUCGAACGAGAUCUUCGGAUCUAGUGGCGCACGGGUGCGUAACGCGUGGGAAUCUGCCCUUGGGUUCGGAAUAACUUCGGGAAACUGAAGCUAAUACCGGAUGAUGACGUAAGUCCAAAGAUUUAUCGCCCAAGGAUGAGCCCGCGUAGGAUUAGCUAGUUGGUAAGGUAAAGGCUUACCAAGGCGACGAUCCUUAGCUGGUCUGAGAGGAUGAUCAGCCACACUGGGACUGAGACACGGCCCAGACUCCUACGGGAGGCAGCAGUAGGGAAUAUUGGACAAUGGGGGCAACCCUGAUCCAGCAAUGCCGCGUGAGUGAUGAAGGCCUUAGGGUUGUAAAGCUCUUUUACCCGGGAUGAUAAUGACAGUACCGGGAGAAUAAGCCCCGGCUAACUCCGUGCCAGCCGCCGCAGUAA
RNAcentral lists this ribosomal RNA (449 nucleotides) under uncultured bacterium. RNAcentral's name for it is "partial 16S ribosomal RNA". It matches the Rfam family "Bacterial small subunit ribosomal RNA", at positions 29 to 523 of the family's 1533-position model. The record is from RNAcentral.